GUGAGGAAUAUUGCGCAAUGGAGGCAACUCUGACGCAGCCAUGCCGCGUGCAGGAAGAAGGCGCUACGCGUUGUAAACUGCUUUUAACCGGGAAGAAACCCCAGGACGUGUCCUGGGUUGACGGUACCGGAGGAAUAAGCACCGGCUAACUUCGUGCCAGCAGCCGCGGUAAUACGAAGGGUGCAAGCGUUAUCCGUAUUCAUUGGGUUUAAAGGGUGCGUAGGCGGAGCGUUAAGUCAGUGGUGAAAUCCUGCAGCUUAACUGUAGACUUGCCAUUGAUACUGGCGCUCUUGAGUGCGCUUGAAGUGGGCGGAAUGUGCCGUGUAGCGGUGAAAUGCUUAGAUAUGGCACAGAACACCAAUUGCGAAGGCAGCUCACUAAGGCGAUACUGACGCUGAGGCACGAAAGCGUGGGGAUCGAACAGGAUUAGAAACCCGUGUAGUCC
This 445-nucleotide ribosomal RNA is filed under the name uncultured bacterium. RNAcentral describes it as "partial 16S ribosomal RNA". It matches the Rfam family "Bacterial small subunit ribosomal RNA", at positions 354 to 796 of the family's 1533-position model. The record is from RNAcentral.